AAAGAUAGAGUUCUCCGAGCCAUAAUACCUAAUACUGUUGUGAUGGUGCUAUGGCCGUAUAGGGUUAAUCGGGAAACGGGUUAGCCUCCCUUUGGAAAGGAGAGCGCAUUAUUCCGCC
Molecule: non-coding RNA, 118 nt
Filed under: Desulforamulus aeronauticus
Lineage: Bacteria; Bacillati; Bacillota; Clostridia; Eubacteriales; Peptococcaceae
Description: Desulfotomaculum aeronauticum MoCo sequence
Rfam family: Molybdenum/Tungsten riboswitch aptamer (Moco RNA motif)
Source: RNAcentral